GGGGGUGGAUAGGUGCUGGUGUGCCUUACGGUCUUCAAAACCGAUAUGAGGAGCUGAUACCUUCUCGGGUGGGUUCGAUUCCCACGCACUCCCGCCA
RNAcentral lists this transfer RNA (97 nucleotides) under Mogibacterium timidum. Its description in RNAcentral is "tRNA-Sec". It matches the Rfam family "Selenocysteine transfer RNA". RNAcentral also lists the same sequence under 5 other names. The record is from RNAcentral. Lineage: Bacteria; Bacillati; Bacillota; Clostridia; Peptostreptococcales; Anaerovoracaceae.